AGAGUUUGAUCAUGGCUCAGAAUCAACGCUGGCGGCGUGCCUAACACAUGCAAGUCGAACGCGAAAGUGGAGCAAUCCAUGAGUAGAGUGGCAAACGGGUGAGUAACGCGUGGGUGACCUGCCUUCGAGUGGGGGAUAACGUUCCGAAAGGGACGCUAAUACCGCAUGACAUCCUGCCUUUGAAGAGGCGGAGAUCAAAGCUGGGGAUCGCAAGACCUAGCACUCGAUGAGGGGCCCGCGUCUGAUUAGCUAGUUGGUGGGGUAACGGCUCACCAAGGCAACGAUCAGUAUCCGGCCUGAGAGGGCGGACGGACACACUGGGACUGAGACACGGCCCAGACUCCUACGGGAGGCAGCAGUGGGGAAUUGUUCGCAAUGGGCGCAAGCCUGACGACGCAACGCCGCGUGGAGGAUGAAGAUCUUCGGGUCGUAAACUCCUUUCGAUCGAGACGAACAGCCUUCGGGUAAACAAUCCGGAGGUCUGACGGUACCGAGAGAAGAAGCCCCGGCUAACUCCGUGCCAGCAGCCGCGGUAAUACGGGGGGGGCAAGCGUUGUUCGGAAUUACUGGGCGUAAAGGGCUCGUAGGCGGCCAACUAAGUCAGACGUGAAAUCCCUCGGCUUAACCGGGGAACUGCGUCUGAUACUGGAUGGCUUGAGUUUGGGAGAGGGAUGCGGAAUUCCAGGUGUAGCGGUGAAAUGCGUAGAUAUCUGGAGGAACACCGGUGGCGAAGGCGGCAUCCUGGACCAACACUGACGCUGAGUGAGCGAAAGCCAGGGGAGCAAACGGGAUUAGAUACCCUAGUAGUCC
This 810-nucleotide ribosomal RNA is filed under the name uncultured bacterium. RNAcentral's name for it is "bacterial SSU rRNA". It matches the Rfam family "Bacterial small subunit ribosomal RNA", at positions 8 to 796 of the family's 1533-position model. The record is from RNAcentral.